GACAAACGCUGGCGGUAUGCCUAACACAUGCAAGUCGAACGGACAGAACAGGGAAGCUUUUCGGAGUGGAACUGGAAAGUUAGUGGCGGAUGGGUGAGUAACGCGUGGACAACCUACCUUGUAAAGGGGAAUAACCUCGAGAAAUCGAAGCUAAUACCCCAUAAUAACCUUGCUUCGCAUGAAGUAAGGAGGAAAGGCGGCCUUAGCGCUGUCGAUACAAGAUGGGUCCGCGUCUGAUUAGCUAGUUGGUGAGGUAAAGGCUCACCAAGGCGACGAUCAGUAGCCGGCCUGAGAGGGUGAACGGCCACAUUGGGACUGAGAUACGGCCCAAACUCCUACGGGAGGCAGCAGUGGGGAAUCUUCCGCAAUGGGCGAAAGCCUGACGGAGCAAUGCCGCGUGAGUGAAGAAGGCCUUCGGGUUGUAAAACUCUGUCCUUAUCGAAGAGAGAGUGUUGUAGUAACUGACAAUACUAGGACGGUAGAUGAGGAGGAAGCCCCGGCUAACUAUGUG
RNAcentral lists this ribosomal RNA (511 nucleotides) under uncultured bacterium. Its description in RNAcentral is "partial 16S ribosomal RNA". It matches the Rfam family "Bacterial small subunit ribosomal RNA", at positions 28 to 507 of the family's 1533-position model. The record is from RNAcentral.